RNAcentral lists this ribosomal RNA (451 nucleotides) under uncultured bacterium. Its description in RNAcentral is "partial 16S ribosomal RNA". It matches the Rfam family "Bacterial small subunit ribosomal RNA", at positions 330 to 795 of the family's 1533-position model. The record is from RNAcentral.
ACCAGACUCCUACGGGAGGCAGCAGUGGGGAAUAUUGGACAAUGGGGGGAACCCUGAUCCAGCGACGCCGCGUGAGUGAAGAAGUAUUUCGGUAUGUAAAGCUCUCUCAGCAGGGAAGAAAGAAAUGACGGUACCUGACUAAGAAGCCCCGGCUAACUACGUGCCAGCAGCCGCGGUAAUACGUAGGGGGCAAGCGUUAUCCGGAUUUACUGGGUGUAAAGGGGGCGCAGACGGCAGCGCAAGCCAGGAGUGAAAGCCCGGGGCCCAACCCCGGGACUGCUCUUGGAACUGCGCGGCUGGAGUGCAGGAGGGGCAGGCGGAAUUCCUGGUGUAGCGGUGAAAUGCGUAGAUAUCAGGAGGAACACCGGUGGCGAAGGCGGCCUGCUGGACUGCGACUGACGUUGAGGCCCGAAAGCGUGGGGAGCAAACAGGAUUAGAUACCCUCGUAGCG